UUUUUUAAACAUGGUUUCUUGAAUUUAAUAUGAAAUUAGUCCUGCUCCAUGAUAUAUUUAUUAAAUAGCCGCAGUAUUUUGACUGUGCAAAGGUAGCAUAAUAAAUUGCUUAUUAAUUGUAAGCUAGUAUGAAUGGAUUGAUAAAAUAAAUGCUUUAUUAAUUAAUUUAAAAAGAAUUUAAUUAUUUAGUUAAAAAGCUAAAAUUUAAUUAAAUGGGACGAGAAGACCCUAUAGAAUUUUAUAUUUAUAAUAUAAUUUUAUUUAUUAUUCAAUAUUUUUAUAUUAUAAAUAUUUAAUUGGGAGGAUUUUUAAGAAUUAAAUAACUUUAAUGUAUAAAAUAACAUAAAUUUAUGAGUAUUUAAAAUGAUUAUUUAUUAAGAUGUAAUAGAAAAAUUACCUUAGGGAUAACAGUGUAAUAUCUUUUGAUAGCCCUAAUUGAUAAGGAUGAUUAUGACCUCGUUUGAAC
This 466-nucleotide ribosomal RNA is filed under the name Allobethylus tomoae. Its description in RNAcentral is "partial 16S ribosomal RNA". The record is from RNAcentral. Lineage: Eukaryota; Metazoa; Arthropoda; Insecta; Hymenoptera; Bethylidae.